AAGCUAAAUAUUGGCCAGAGACCGAUAGCGCACAAGUAGAGUGAUCGAAAGAUGAAAAGCACUUUGAAAAGAGGGUUAAAUAGCACGUGAAAUUGUUGAAAGGGAAGCGUUUGCGACCAGACCUUUUCCUGGUGGAUCAUCCGGUGUUCUCACCGGUGCACUUCGCCAGGUUUAGGCCAGCAUCGGUUCUUGUAGGGGGACAAAAGCUCGGGGAAUGUAGCUCCCUCGGGAGUGUUAUAGCCCCGUGCAUAAUACCCUUACGGGGACCGAGGACCGCGCUUCGGCAAGGAUGCUGGCGUAAUGGUCGUCAACGACCCGUCUUGAAACACGGACCAAGGAGUCGAACAGUUGUGCGAGUGUUUGGGUGUUAAACCCUCACGCGUAAUGAAAGUGAACGGAGGUGAGAGCCCGCAAGGGUGCAUCAUCGACCGAUCCUGAUGUCUUCGGAUGGAUUUGAGUAAGAGCAUCACUGUUCGGACCCGAAAGAUGGUGAACUAUGCGUGGAUAGGGUGAAGCCAGAGGAAACUCUGGUGGAGGCUCGCAGCGGUUCUGACGUGCAAAUCGAUCGUCAAAUCUGCGCAUGGGGGCGAAAGACUUAUCGAACCAUCUAGUAGCUGGUUACCGCCGAAGUUUCCCUCAGGAUAGCAGUGUUGUUCUUCAGUUUUAUGAGGUAAAGCGAAUGAUUAGGGACUCGGGGGCGCUUUUUAGCCUUCAUCCAUUCUCAAACUUUAAAUAUGUAAGAAGCCCUUGUUACUUAAUUGAACGUGGGCAUUCGAAUGUACCAACACUAGUGGGCCAUUUUUGGUAAGCAGAACUGGCGAUGCGGGAUGAACCGAACGCGGGGUUAAGGUGCCGGAGUGGACGCUCAUCAGACACCACAAAAGGUGUUAGCACAUUUAGACAAUAGGACGGUGGCCAUGGAAGUCGGAACCCGCUAAGGAUUGUGUAACAACUCACCUAUCGAAUGUGCUAGCCCUGAAAAUGGAUGGCGCUCAAGCGUCCCACCCAUACCUCGCCCUCAGGGUAGAAACGAUGCCCUGAGGAGUAGGCGGCCGUGGAGGUCAGUGACGAAGCCUA
This 1077-nucleotide ribosomal RNA is filed under the name Pseudoxylaria acuminatilongissima. RNAcentral's name for it is "Xylaria acuminatilongissima partial large subunit ribosomal RNA". It matches the Rfam family "Eukaryotic large subunit ribosomal RNA", at positions 313 to 1412 of the family's 3401-position model. Lineage: Eukaryota; Fungi; Ascomycota; Sordariomycetes; Xylariales; Xylariaceae. The record is from RNAcentral.